Molecule: ribosomal RNA, 1110 nt
Filed under: Kocuria sp. GSB.19
Lineage: Bacteria; Bacillati; Actinomycetota; Actinomycetes; Micrococcales; Micrococcaceae
Description: bacterial SSU rRNA
Rfam family: Bacterial small subunit ribosomal RNA
Source: RNAcentral
ACGGGUGAGUAAUACGUGAGUAACCUGCCCUUGACUCUGGGAUAAGCCUGGGAAACCGGGUCUAAUACUGGAUACGACGUCCUACCGCAUGGUGGGGCGUGGAAAGGGUUUUACUGGUUUUGGAUGGGCUCACGGCCUAUCAGCUUGUUGGUGGGGUAAUGGCCUACCAAGGCGACGACGGGUAGCCGGCCUGAGAGGGUGACCGGCCACACUGGGACUGAGACACGGCCCAGACUCCUACGGGAGGCAGCAGUGGGGAAUAUUGCACAAUGGGCGCAAGCCUGAUGCAGCGACGCCGCGUGAGGGAUGACGGCCUUCGGGUUGUAAACCUCUUUCAGCAGGGAAGAAGCCACAAGUGACGGUACCUGCAGAAGAAGCGCCGGCUAACUACGUGCCAGCAGCCGCGGUAAUACGUAGGGCGCAAGCGUUGUCCGGAAUUAUUGGGCGUAAAGAGCUCGUAGGCGGUUUGUCGCGUCUGCUGUGAAAGCCCGGGGCUCAACCCCGGGUCUGCAGUGGGUACGGGCAGACUAGAGUGCAGUAGGGGAGACUGGAAUUCCUGGUGUAGCGGUGAAAUGCGCAGAUAUCAGGAGGAACACCGAUGGCGAAGGCAGGUCUCUGGGCUGUUACUGACGCUGAGGAGCGAAAGCAUGGGGAGCGAACAGGAUUAGAUACCCUGGUAGUCCAUGCCGUAAACGUUGGGCACUAGGUGUGGGGGACAUUCCACGUUCUCCGCGCCGUAGCUAACGCAUUAAGUGCCCCGCCUGGGGAGUACGGCCGCAAGGCUAAAACUCAAAGGAAUUGACGGGGGCCCGCACAAGCGGCGGAGCAUGCGGAUUAAUUCGAUGCAACGCGAAGAACCUUACCAAGGCUUGACAUCCACCGGACCGCACUGGAGACAGUGCUUCCCUUCGGGGCUGGUGGACAGGUGGUGCAUGGUUGUCGUCAGCUCGUGUCGUGAGAUGUUGGGUUAAGUCCCGCAACGAGCGCAACCCUCGUUCUAUGUUGCCAGCACGUGAUGGUGGGGACUCAUAGGAGACUGCCGGGGUCAACUCGGAAGAAGGUGGGGAUGACGUCAAAUCAUCAUGCCCCUUAUGUCUUGGGCUUCACGCA